Molecule: ribosomal RNA, 311 nt
Filed under: uncultured bacterium
Lineage: Bacteria
Description: bacterial SSU rRNA
Rfam family: Bacterial small subunit ribosomal RNA
Source: RNAcentral
GAUAAACGCUGGCGGCGUGCCUAACACAUGCAAGUCGAACGCCCUUUGCGCAAGUGAGAGGGAGUGGCGGACGGGUGAGUACCACGUGGGUACCUACCUUGAGGUGAGGAAUACCACCGAGAAAUCGGUGACAAGACCGCAUACGCUCGGGCAACCGAGCAAAGUCAUGCAAAUGACGCCACAAGAUGAGCCUGCGCCUGAUUAGCUGGUUGGUGAGGUAACAGCUCACCAAGGCGACGAUCAGUAGCUGGUCUGAGAGGAUGAUCAGCCACACUGGGAUUGAGAACGGCCCAGACUCCGUACGGGGGCGA